Molecule: ribosomal RNA, 1289 nt
Filed under: uncultured bacterium
Lineage: Bacteria
Description: bacterial SSU rRNA
Rfam family: Bacterial small subunit ribosomal RNA
Source: RNAcentral
GAUGAACGCUGGCGGCGUGCUUAACACAUGCAAGUCGAACGAACCUUCGGGUUAGUGGCGGACGGGUGAGUAACGCGUGGGAAUCUGCCCUCAGGAGGGGGAUAACGGUUGGAAACGACCGCUAAUACCCCAUAUGCCGAGAGGUGAAAUGAAUUUCGCCUGAGGAUGAGCCCGCGUCUGAUUAGCUUGUUGGUGAGGUAAUGGCUCACCAAGGCAUCGAUCAGUAGCUGGUCUGAGAGGAUGAUCAGCCACACUGGGACUGAGACACGGCCCAGACUCCUACGGGAGGCAGCAGUGGGGAAUUUUCCGCAAUGGGCGAAAGCCUGACGGAGCAACGCCGCGUGAGGGACGAAGGCCUCUGGGCUGUAAACCUCUUUUCUCAAGGAAGAAGAUAUGACGGUACUUGAGGAAUAAGCCACGGCUAAUUCCGUGCCAGCAGCCGCGGUAAUACGGGAGUGGCAGGCGUUAUCCGGAAUUAUUGGGCGUAAAGCGUCCGCAGGCGGCCCUUCAAGUCUGCUGUUAAAGCGUGGAGCUUAACUCCAUCAUGGCAGUGGAAACUGAUUGGCUUGAGUAUGGUAGGGGCAGAGGGAAUUCCCGGUGUAGCGGUGAAAUGCGUAGAUAUCGGGAAGAACACCAGUGGCGAAGGCGCUCUGCUGGGCCAUUACUGACGCUCAUGGACGAAAGCCAGGGGAGCGAAAGGGAUUAGAUACCCCUGUAGUCCUGGCCGUAAACGAUGAACACUAGGUGUCGGGGGAAUCGACCCCUUCGGUGUCGUAGCUAACGCGUUAAGUGUUCCGCCUGGGGAGUACGCACGCAAGUGUGAAACUCAAAGGAAUUGACGGGGGCCCGCACAAGCGGUGGAGUAUGUGGUUUAAUUCGAUGCAACGCGAAGAACCUUACCAGGGCUUGACAUCCUGCGAACCUUUAAGAAAUUAGAGGGUGCCUUCGGGAACGCAGUGACAGGUGGUGCAUGGCUGUCGUCAGCUCGUGUCGUGAGAUGUUGGGUUAAGUCCCGCAACGAGCGCAACCCACGUUUUUAGUUGCCAGCAUUUAGUUGGGCACUCUAGAAAGACCGCCGGUGAUAAACCGGAGGAAGGUGUGGAUGACGUCGAGUCAUCAUGCCCCUUACGUCCUGGGCUACACACGUACUACAAUGCUACGGACAAAGGGCAGCAAACUCGCGAGAGCUAGCAAAUCCCAUAAACCGUGGCUCAGUUCAGAUCGUAGGCUGCAACUCGCCUACGUGAAGUAGGAAUCGCUAGUAAUCGCAGGUCAGCAUACUGCGGUGA